Molecule: long non-coding RNA, 496 nt
Filed under: Phoenix dactylifera (date palm)
Lineage: Eukaryota; Viridiplantae; Streptophyta; Magnoliopsida; Arecales; Arecaceae
Description: long non-coding RNA (PDAC_LNC022635)
Source: RNAcentral
AGACUCCAUCAACCAUAACUCUAUCAAAUUCAUUCCAUACAGCACUAGUCCUCUUACGAGAAGAGGUUUGAUCUUCACUCGGUUCACUAGUUCUAGAGGAACUAGGAACAUGGGGUUGGCGAUUAGUUUCUUCUCCCUCAGAAACAGGAGGAAUGCCAAAAUGACUUUCCUCAAAAGAUGACAUAUCUAAAUUGAUGAAUUCAAAAAAUAAAAACUAACCACAAGGAGGAAUUGAGUAGAGGGUCGGAGGGCAGAGGCAGAGCCGAGAUUCUGAGCUUCCUCUUGUGCUCUCAACAGGAGUGACCUUUUCUUCUCAACAGGAACCUCCUCUUGUGUAGCACUUGAACACUUGCUAAAUGCAAACUAAAAAUUAAAUUGCUAGAAGAGCACUUUAGAAGAGAAAAAUAAUAGUAAUAGAGAAUGAGAGAAUAGUUGGUUUGGUGUGGUGAGAAUGAGGGAGGAAAGGGCUAUUCAUAGAAGCCCAAAAAAUUUUUUU